Molecule: long non-coding RNA, 2248 nt
Filed under: Homo sapiens (human)
Lineage: Eukaryota; Metazoa; Chordata; Mammalia; Primates; Hominidae
Description: non-protein coding lnc-ALG14-1:7
Source: RNAcentral
AGAAGCUCCUGCUCAGUAACUACAGACGCGAAGCUCAGCCUCUCGGUUUGGGAAUUUUCUUGGAGGCCGAGGCCCUGCGCCUCUGUCUGCACCCAAGGCGACCGCCCAGCUUACCCCCGGCUCUUCUGAGCACAGGGAGGCCUCCCAGCAAAGCCUGAACCCUCUAAGUUUAGCUGCAGGCUUCGAACCCCGACCGUCCCCGCCGAGCCUUGGGCUGCUGAGGUGGGGAUGAACUGGGCGAAAGACACUUGGGAGUUAGGAAGAAACAAACAAGCAGGGAAGUGACCAGGAGACAAGAUGGGCGUCCACAGAAUGAAUACAGGAAUGUCUGUCUGCCUGUCUGUGUAUACUCUGUGAAGGAAUAUACCAACAUUACAUGCUGACCCAAGGAUAGCCAGUACGCCUUCUGCAAGAGGAAAGUUUGUGUUUCAAAAUCCAUCAAGUGAAAGAGAACAGAAAAAUUCAGAGGGCGUCAUUCACGGUAUCAUUUGAGGAUAUGCUGCAGCAAAAUGAGUGAAUAAACAAGAAAGUCAAAGACAUGGGAUUGAGGAAACAGUGACUUCAGCCCAAGAUUGGAAUGACAGGGAGCCCCAGGCCACUGGGCAGCAGCACAGACAGCAAUCUGUUCAGACUGCAGCAGAACAGCAAACUCCUGGAGCAGUAUCAAGAGGUGGCGGGGGUUCCAAGAUGGCCGAAUAGGACCAGCUCCAGUCUACAGCUCCCAGUAUGAGCGACACAGAAGACGGGUGACUUCUGCAUUUCCAACUGAGGUACCGCAUUCAUCUCACUGGGGCUUGUCAGACACUGGGUGCAGCCCACAGAGUGUGAGCCGAAGCAGGGCGAGGCAUCGCCUCACCUGGGAAGCACAAGGGGUCAGGAAUUCCCUUUACUAGCCAAGGGAAGCUGUGGCAGAUGGUACCUGGAAAAUCGGGACACUCCCACCCUAAUAUUGCGCUUUUCCAACAGCCUUAACAAACAGCACACCAGGAGAUUAUAUCCCGCGCCUGGCUCAGAGGGUCCCAUGCCCACGGAGCCUCGCUCAUUGCUAGCACAGCAGUCUGAGAUCAAACUGCAAGGCGGCAGUGAGGCUGGGGGAGGGGCAUCCGCCAUUGCUAAGGCUUGAGUAGGUAAACAAAGCGGCCUGGAAGCUCGAACUGGGUGGAGCCCACCACAGCUCAAGGAGGCCUGCCUGCCUCUGUAGACUCCACCUCUGGGGGCAGGGCAUAGCUGAACAAAAGGCAGCAGAAACUUCUGCAGAAUUAAACAUCCCUGUCUGACAGCUUUGAAGACAGUAGUGGUUCUCCCAGCACAGUUUGAGAUCUGAGAACAGACAGACUACCUCCUCAAGUGGACCCCUGACCCCUGAGUAGCCUAACUGGUAGGCACCUCCCAGUAGGGGCCGACUGACACCUCAUAUGGCUGGGUGCCCCUCUGAGACAAAGCUUCCAGAGGAAGGAUCAGGCAGCAACAUUGGCCAUUCUGCAAUAUUUGCUGUUCUGCAGCCUCCACUGGUGAUACUCAGGCAAACAAGGUCUGGAGUGGACCUACAGCAAACUCCAACAGACCUGUAGCUGAAGGUCCUGUUAGAAGGAAAACUAACAAACAGAAAGGACAUCCACACCAAAACCCCAUCUGUAUGUCACCAUCAUCAAAGACCAAAGGUAGAUAAAACCAUAAAGAUGGGGAGAAACUAGAGCAGAAAAGCUGAAAAUUCUAAAAAUCAGAGCACCUAUUCUCCUCCAAAGUAACGCAGCUCCUCGCCAGCAGCAGAACAAAGCUGGACAGAGAACAACUUUGACAAGUUGAGAGAAGAAGGCUUCAAACGAUCAGUAAUAACAAACUUCUCCGAGCUAAAGGAGGAUGUUCGAACCCAUCGCAAAAAAGCUAAAAACAUGCAAAAAAGAGUAGACGAAUGGCUAACUACAAUAAACAGCAUACAGAAGACCUCAGGUACCCAAUGGAGCUGAAAACCAUGGCACGAGAACUAUAUGACACAUGCACAAGCUUCAGUAGCCGAUUUGAUCAAGUGGAAGAAAGGGUAUCAGUGAUUGUAGAUCAAAUGAAUGAAAUGAAGUGAGAAGAGUUUAGAGAAAAAAGAGUAAAAAGAAAUGAACGAAGCCUCUGAGAAAUAUGAGACUAUGUGAAGAGACCAAAUCUACGUUUGACUGGUAUACCUGAAAGUGAUGGGGAGAAUGGAACCAAGUUGGAAAACACUCUUCAGGGUAUUAUCCAGGAGAACUUCCCCAAC